This 69-nucleotide transfer RNA is filed under the name Hyphessobrycon pulchripinnis. Its description in RNAcentral is "tRNA-Ala". It matches the Rfam family "tRNA". From Rfam's summary of the family: Transfer RNA (tRNA) molecules are approximately 80 nucleotides in length. Their secondary structure includes four short double-helical elements and three loops (D, anti-codon, and T loops). The record is from RNAcentral. Lineage: Eukaryota; Metazoa; Chordata; Actinopteri; Characiformes; Acestrorhamphidae.
AAGGCCUUAGCUUAAUUAAAGUAUCUGGGUUGCAUUCAGAAGAUAUGGGAUAAAAUCCCGUAGGUUUUA